UGGAAGGAAAAAAACGUAACAAGGUCUCCGUUGGUGAACCAGCGGAGGGAUCAUUACUGAGUUUACGCUCUACAACCCUUUGUGAACAUACCUAUAACUGUUGCUUCGGCGGGUAGGGUCUCCGCGACCCUCCCGGCCUCCCGCCCCCGGGCGGGUCGGCGCCCGCCGGAGGAUAACCAAACUCUGAUUUAACGACGUUUCUUCUGAGUGGUACAAGCAAAUAAUCAAAACUUUUAACAACGGAUCUCUUGGUUCUGGCAUCGAUGAAGAACGCAGCGAAAUGCGAUAAGUAAUGUGAAUUGCAGAAUUCAGUGAAUCAUCGAAUCUUUGAACGCACAUUGCGCCCGCCAGCAUUCUGGCGGGCAUGCCUGUUCGAGCGUCAUUUCAACCCUCAAGCUCUGCUUGGUGUUGGGGCCCUACAGCCGAUGUAGGCCCUCAAAGGUAGUGGCGGACCCUCCCGGAGCCUCCUUUGCGUAGUAACUUUACGUCUCGCACUGGGAUCCGGAGGGACUCUUGCCGUAAAACCCCCCAAUUUUCCAAAGGUUGACCUCGGAUCAGGUAGGAAUACCCGCUGAACUUAAGCAUAUCAUA
This 591-nucleotide ribosomal RNA is filed under the name Colletotrichum gloeosporioides. Its description in RNAcentral is "eukaryotic LSU rRNA". The stretch from base 229 to 382 matches the Rfam family "5.8S ribosomal RNA". The record is from RNAcentral. Lineage: Eukaryota; Fungi; Ascomycota; Sordariomycetes; Glomerellales; Glomerellaceae.